Molecule: ribosomal RNA, 253 nt
Filed under: uncultured bacterium
Lineage: Bacteria
Description: partial 16S ribosomal RNA
Rfam family: Bacterial small subunit ribosomal RNA
Source: RNAcentral
UACAGAGGGGGCAAGCGUUGUUCGGAAUUACUGGGCGUAAAGGGCUCGUAGGUGGCCAACUAAGUCAGACGUGAAAUCCCUCGGCUUAACCGGGGAACUGCGCUUGAUACUGGAUGGCUUGAGAUUGGGAGAGGGAUGCGGAAUUCCAGGUGUAGCGGUGAAAUGCGUAGAUAUCGGGAGGAACACCAGUGGCGAAGGCGGCGACCUGGGCCAAUACUGACGCUGAGGUGCGAAAGCGUGGGGAGCAAACAGG